AGAUGUUUGGCUGACAGCAUGGUGGAUUAGCGGUUGGCACUAUUACCUCACAGCAAGAAGGUCAUGGGUUUGAUUCCCACCUAUGUCCUUUCUGUGUGGAGUUUGCAUGUUCUCCUCAUGUUUGCAUGGGUUUCCUUUGGGUGCUCCGGCUUCCUUUC
Molecule: long non-coding RNA, 158 nt
Organism: Thalassophryne amazonica
Lineage: Eukaryota; Metazoa; Chordata; Actinopteri; Batrachoidiformes; Batrachoididae
Exons: 3
Source: RefSeq, a predicted model, not a curated record